RNAcentral lists this ribosomal RNA (468 nucleotides) under uncultured bacterium. RNAcentral describes it as "partial 16S ribosomal RNA". It matches the Rfam family "Bacterial small subunit ribosomal RNA", at positions 28 to 507 of the family's 1533-position model. The record is from RNAcentral.
GACGAACGCUGGCGGCGUGCUUAACACAUGCAAGUCGAACGGAAAGGCCCUGCUUUUGUGGGGUGCUCGAGUGGCGAACGGGUGAGUAACACGUGAGUAACCUGCCCUUGACUUUGGGAUAACUUCAAGAAACUGGGGCUAAUACCGGAUAGGAGCUCCUGCUGCAUGGUGGGGGUUGGAAAGUUUCGGCGGUUGGGGAUGGACGCGCGGCUUAUCAGCUUGUUGGUGGGGUAGUGGCUUACCAAGGCUUUGACGGGUAGCCGGCCUGAGAGGGUGACCGGCCACAUUGGGACUGAGAUACGGCCCCGACUCCUACGGGAGGCAGCAGUGGGGAAUAUUGCACAAUGGGCGGAAGCCUGAUGCAGCAACGCCGCGUGCGGGAUGACGGCCCUCGGGUUGUAAACCGCUUUCGCCUGUGACGAAGCGUGAGUGACGGUAAUGGGUAAAGAAGCACCGGCUAACUACGUG